Molecule: transfer RNA, 73 nt
Filed under: Bacteroidales bacterium
Lineage: Bacteria; Pseudomonadati; Bacteroidota; Bacteroidia; Bacteroidales
Also listed under: 1 other name
Description: tRNA-Lys
Rfam family: tRNA
About the family: Transfer RNA (tRNA) molecules are approximately 80 nucleotides in length.
Source: RNAcentral
GACUCGCUAGCUCAGUUGGUAGAGCACUUGACUCUUAAUCAAGGGGUCGUGGGUUCGACCCCCACGCGGGUCA